This 85-nucleotide transfer RNA is filed under the name Felis catus (domestic cat). It matches the Rfam family "tRNA". Rfam says of the family: Transfer RNA (tRNA) molecules are approximately 80 nucleotides in length. Their secondary structure includes four short double-helical elements and three loops (D, anti-codon, and T loops). The record is from Rfam by way of RNAcentral. Lineage: Eukaryota; Metazoa; Chordata; Mammalia; Carnivora; Felidae.
GCCUGGGUGGCUCAGUGGGUUAAGCGUCUGACUUUGACUCAGGUCAUCAUCUCAUGGUCUGUGAGUUCGAGCCCCACAUCGGGCU